UUCAACGUGUUAUUAGUUGCUUGUAAUUUUGUGUUAUAUUCGUUCUAAGUUACAUCUGAAGAUUUUGGAUUUCAGUGUCCUUUUAUCUUCUUCUUUUUCAAAUUUUUUUUUUACGCUUAUUGUCCUUGUUUUGUUGUUGGUAACCUCAAGAUUUACUCUUCAAAUAUGUUUUCUUACCGUUAAAGUGUUGAAAGUUCAAAAAAAAAAUUUGGUCUUCUAUAUUUGAGCUAAAAAUUUAGGUUUUGAAGGUUUUUCUUUUAUUUUUGUUGAAGAUUUACAAUUCUAAUUUGUUAUUUGGUUAGUUAUUAGUUGACGAUGAAUAGUAAGUGUUCGAAUGUGUUAUUUUGUUCUCUAUGAACUGUGUUGUUUUCAUUUGAAGUUAAAGCUGAAGGUUUAGGAUUUUAAUGUCUUUUUGCCUUUAUUUUUUACACUUAUUGUCUUUGCUAAUUUUGUUGUUGGUGACCUCAAGAUUUAGUCUUGAAAGACAUUUUCUUGUUGUUGAAGUGUUGGUAGUUCGAAAAUGCUUUUUAAUCUUCUAUAUUUGAGCUGGAAAUUAGGCUUUGAAGGUUUUUUUCUCCAUUUUUUGGUUGAAAAUUUACAGUUUCAAUCUAUUAUUUGUUUUUUUAUUAGUUGAUGAUGAAGAAUGUGUUAUUUUUUUCUCUAUGACUUGUAUUAUUUUUGUUUGAAGUUAAAGCUAAAUAUUUAGGAUUUUUAUGUCCUCGUGGUUUCAUUUCUUGCACUUAUUGUGUUUGAUCUCUCGUAUUCAUUCAUUUCUUGAUCGCCUAAAAAUUCUUGUAUUUAUGCUAAUUUCUUUGUCGUCCAAGUGCAUUUUACCUAUAGAAACAUACAUGCAACUCAUUGUCUUGGUAUUCAUUUUCUAUAGUCGAAAAAUUUCAUGUCAUCUCAUGAUUUCUAUGUCCAAAGUGUCCACAAGUGCAUCUUUUCGUCUUCUAUUUUAUACUUAAGUUCAAGAUUUACCCUUUAAACCUGUUGUUUUUAUGUGAGGCUGAGAAUUAUUCUUUGAAGGUAGUUGAGACAGAAAGAUUAAUUGGUAAGUACGACAAAAGUGAAGAAUCUUGAAUACUUUAUCCAAAGGUAAGUAAAUUUUAAAUUCAAUUAGAAAUCUGAAUAUUUUUUGGGGGAAUUUACCAAAAUGUCACUUUUUUUGAAAAUGCACAAAAAAUUUUGAUGUGCACACAAUUUGUACAAAAAUGUCAUUUUCUUCUUGUCAAAUGUCUAAA
RNAcentral lists this long non-coding RNA (1241 nucleotides) under Olea europaea (common olive). RNAcentral describes it as "long non-coding RNA (OEUR_LNC010201)". The record is from RNAcentral. Lineage: Eukaryota; Viridiplantae; Streptophyta; Magnoliopsida; Lamiales; Oleaceae.